Molecule: long non-coding RNA, 8068 nt
Filed under: Sus scrofa (pig)
Lineage: Eukaryota; Metazoa; Chordata; Mammalia; Artiodactyla; Suidae
Description: lncRNA (ENSSSCG00040070821.1)
Source: RNAcentral
UGGCUGUGGCUGUGGUGUAGGCCAGUGGCUACAGCUUCGAUUCGACCCUUGGCCUGGGAACCUCCAUAUGACACUGGAGCCGCCCAAGAAAUGGCAAAAAGACAAAAAAAAUUUACUUGACUGAAGUAGAGUUGAUUUACGAUGUUGUGUUAGUUUCAGGCGUACAGCAAAGUGACUCGUGUAUUUGUGUGUGUGUGUGUGUGUGUGUACACGUAUAUCUGAUGUGUAUGUAUAUACACACACAUCCUUUUUCAUACUCCUUUCCAGGGUGGUUUGUCACAGGAUGCUGAAUGUAGUUCGCUGUAGGGCAGGAGCCUGUUGUUUGUCCAUCCUGCAUACGUCUGCCUCUGCGAGACCCAAGCUCACUCCCAGUCCUUCCCUGCCCCACCCGCCUCCCCUUCGGCAGCCACAAGUCUGUUCCCUCUGUCCCAGAGUCUGCUUCUGCCUCGUAGACACGUUCGUUUGUGUUGAGUGUUUGUGAAGUUUCGUUAGAGUUGCUUUACGCGGGUGUGAUCAUGUCCGCUCUGCAACAACGUGAUUCAGGGACCCCUGUACCCACAGCCUUUCUCUCCCAGAUUCUCUUCCCACACAGAGGAUCCCAGAAUAUCGGGUAGAGGUCUCUGGGCUGCACGGCAGGUCCCCACUGGCCAGGACAACUCAGCGUACAGAUGCCAGUCCCAAACCCCAGGCUAUCUCUCCUCCCCCACAACUGUCCGCUUUGGUAACCGUACGCUUGUUUUCGAAGUCUGCCUGUCUGUUUCUGUUCUGCAGAUCAGUUUGUGCCACAUUUGAGACGCCACGUAUAAAUGAUAUCAUGUGACAUUUGUCUUCCACUGUCUGACUGACCUCACUUAGCAGGAGCAUCUCUAGGUCCGUCCCUGUUGCUGCAAACGGCAUCAUUUCACUCUUUUUACGGCUAACACUCCAUCGUGUAUAUGGACUACGUCUUCUUGAUCCAGUCCUCUGUUGAUGGACGUUUGGGGUGCUUCCAUGUCUCAGCUGUUGUGCAUAGAGCUGCAGUGAAUACUAGGGCGCACGUAUCUUUGUGAAUUACUGGUUCCUCCAGAGAGAGGCCCAGGCGUGGGAUUGCUGGUGGCAGUUCUGGUUUUAGUUUUUGCGUCCCCUCCGUACUGUUCCCCACAGUGGCAGCACCAGGUGACCUUCCCACCAGCAGUGUAGGUAGGUGGUUUUCUGAUCCCUGGCCUGGAGGACGAGAGUCCAGAGGGAAAGAGAAACUUUCCAUCCCCUCUUCCCUUCCGUGCAGUUCACGGGAUCCACAAACAACGCCUCCGGGAGAGGAACUGUUUUUAUCCUCAACACACUGAGUUGGAACCGCUAUUAAGAAAACUGCACAAGAACCCAGCUGGGAAGUGAAAGAGCCAAAACGCACUCCCACGCCGCGUUACUCCACAGCCUGCUCACUGCCACGUGUUACUACCCCACGGCUACGGGCGAGGGCUCGCUGCCUGGGGGGCACGGCAGCCAGCACCGCAGGCCCAGCUUUUGAGGAAAGAGGAGGCUUUGUUGCCAGGCCCAUGGCCAGGAAACAGGAGGCAGGGCUUCCAUCUGUCUUUCCCGUCCAGGGUUCAGGGUAAAAUUUAAGGGGUUCAGGGGACUUCAGACGUGGAAGCCAAUGGGCUCGUCUCAGUCUGUAGAAGCUGCUGGACGCCAGACUUUCCUCAUUGAAGGACGUCUCCCUUCCUCAAGGGCCCUGCCUGUAACACUUGCAUCCUUUGGGUCGCAGACUGAAGAGUCUUGGUUCCAGGGUCCCCUGAGAACGUGGGUUCCCAGGCUGGGGGUCCAAUCAGAGCUACAGCUGCUGGCCUCCACCACAGCUCACAGCUACGCCAGAUCCGAGCCUUGUCUGUGACCUAAACCACAGCUCACAGCAAUGCUGGAUCCUUCACCCACCAGAGGCCAGGGAUCAAACUUGCAUCCUCAUGGAUCCUCGUCGGCUUCAUUACCACAAGGGGAACUCUCUCGGGUCUCAUUUUAAAACCCAUUCCUGUUGAUGGAUGAGGUCUACGUAUAUCCUCAGGUGUCUUGAGGGACUUGUGAUCCCCCCGCUUCCCCCCCCACCACACACACACACAGCCCUUCCACACGGAUGGCCGGUUGGGGCUGGAGAAACACAGUUCCCUCCAUCUCUUCAGCACCCCCCACCAGGGGGUGAGAAGCAGCCCUGAGUGUGCAAGGACCUCCCCACCCCUCCGUGUUCGUCUCUCUCCCUUCAUCCUCUCCAUCCCCUGCGUCCAGGACACCUCCGAGCCCUCUCCCUGCACUGUCCCCGCUGAUGAGCAGCAAAACCCCUGGCUGACCACGCUGCCUCCACACCAGCCCUGGACGACUUUCUCCUUUUUAAAAAUCUUCCGCCAUGUUCACUUGACCCAAGGAACCCUUGUGUGACCACGUCGAAGUUUCAUCGGCAUCCCAAGGACAAGCCCCGCGCUCCAGCCUCCGACUCGCUGUGCGGGGGUCUCGGGUGUGCCUCGCAGUGACAGCGCUUCUCCGUCUGAAAGUUACCUUGAUCACAUACCCUUGACACAUUUCAGGAUUUCUUAUGAUCGACGGUGGCGAGAGAGGUUGCCGGCAGCCAAGCGUCCCAAACACACCUUGAAAUGUUCCCAUAACUAGUCGAGUCUGUUUUCCGAAUUGAUUUUACGCCGUUAAGAUGGAAUCAACUGCAAACAUCCCACCCUGUCCGUUGCUGAGCUACAUCUCACGGCAGGGGCAGGUCUUGUCGUGGUGGGGGUGGGUCCUGUGGCGGGGACGGGUCUUGUCACAGUGGGGAUGGGUCUUUUCAUGGCGGGGACGGAUCUUGUUGUUGUGGGGACGGGUCUUUUCAUGGCGGGGAUGGGUCCUGUCAUGGUGGGGACGGGUCUUCUUGUUGUGGGCAUGGGUCCUGUCACAGUGGGGACGGGUCUUUUCAUGUCGGGGAUGGGUCUUGUUGCGGGGAUGGGUCUGGUCACAGCAGGGAUGUGCCAGGGGUUGCAGAUAAAGGGCACUGGUCAGCUUGUAGAUGUUGUGCGUAUGGAGCUGCUGUAUAUAUACCCUUGCAUUCACAUUUUUCUCAGUGUAAGUCCUUUUUUGUAGAUUGAACAGCUCAGAGUGGGAAAUUUGGGUCAAACGGUAAAAGUGUGUUUAAUUAUAAAAGAGAGGGACCAGAGUUCCCUGGUGGCUCAGCGGGUUAAGGAUCCAGCGUUGUCACUGCAGUGGGUUCGAUCUCUGGCCCUGGAACCUCCACAUGCUGCAGGCACGGCCAAAAGAAAUUUUUUAAUAAAAAAUUUUAAAAAGAGACAGACUGUCUUCCUGGUGGAUGCGCCAUUCCACACCCCUCAGCAGCGGUGGGAGUUGCAGCUGCCCCACAACCCUUGGGAGGGUCAGUGGUGCUCCCGAGGCUCCCAGAGGCCAUGUGAUGUCUGACUGCACCCAGCUUCAGUCCUCCCGGGGCUGGUGAUGCAAACCUUUUCAAGUGCCUCCCCAGACCCUUCCUGGUGAACCGUCUGUGCAAGUCUCCUUUUUCAUUUUCUGAUUUUGAUUUCAGGCUGCACCCAUGGCAUGUGAAAAUUCCCAGGCCAGGGAUCAAACCCUCAUCACAGCAGUGACCUGAGCCUCUGCUGUGACAACAUCAGACCCUUAACCCUCUGUGCCACCAGGGAACUCCUGCAAGUCUCUUUUUUUUUAGAGUAAAAGUGUAUAUAUGUAAGGAGUUCCCAUCGUGGCGCAGUGGUUAACGAAUCUGACGAGGAACCAUGAGGUUUCGAGUUCGAUCCCUGGCCUUGCUCAGUGGGUUCAGGAUCUGGCGUUGGCAUGAGCUGUGGUGUAGGUCGCAGCCGCGGCUUGGUUCCCGUGUUGCUGUGACUGUGGUGUAGGCCGGUAGCUACAGCUCCGAUCAGACCCCUAGCCUGGAACCUCCAUGUGCCGCGGGUGUGGCCCUAGAAAAGGCAAAAAGACCACAAAAAAGUGCACAUAUGUAAGGUGUACAGCAUGAGUUGUUAUACACACACAUAGUGAAAUGAUUACCACACUAAUUCACAAACACAGUUGCCCUUGAGAGCCCCUGAAAUCUCCCCUCUGAGGAAAUGUCCAGUAUUCCCCACGCUGUUAUUAACCGCAGUCACCGGGCUGCACGCAAGCUCUCUCGACUCACGCACCCCACAGACCUUCAGCCAUCCUCCCCCCCACAACCGCAGUUCUACCCCCGGCUUCUAUGCAUUUGCCGUUUUCAACUUCCACGGGUGUGAAAUCUUUUUUUCUUUUUCUUUCUGUGCCUGGCUUAUGUAAUGUACCCUGCUGUCCUCCAAGCUCACCUGUGUUUGUUUCAAAUGGAAGGACCCCUUUCCUGUUUAAGGCUGCGUCAUAUUCCAUCGUACCUGGACCCCACCAUUUCUUUAUCAGUUCGUCUGUCUGUGGACACGUAGGCUGUUCGGGUCUUUUGCCUGCUUGCUGACUGGCUCAUUUGUCUUUAUGCAGAGAUGUCUUUGUUCCUCUCCCCUCACUGAUUUUAUGAGUAAGCACAUGGAAGCACAGAGAGGUUAAGUGACUUGCCUGAAUAUGCACAGCUGAUAACCAGCAGAGCCAGAAAACAGGAAUCCACGCCACCUCCUUGGUGGGAAGAACAGCAGAGAGGAGAGAGGCCCUUACUCCUUGUGAGUGUGUGUGUGUGUGUGUGUGUGUGUGUGUGUGCACUCAGUUCUGACUUUUACAAACAUGCGGCCAUUCCAUGUUCUGAGACACGCUCCAGACACGGAUUGUUCAAGGAUCUCCACAGGGCCUGGCCGGUACCCACCUCGGGGCCUUUGCACCUGCUAUGCCCUCAGCCAGGAAAGGGGAAGGACUUUCUCUUUCCCGUCAUCCCCUUCUCAUGUCAAGUCUCAGCCCCCACAUCACAGCCUCCGAGGGCCAUGUCCAAACUUACCCUCUGGGGUUGGCUCAUUAAGCUGCUGACCGCCCCUCUUUCCAAGGCGGGUUUAAACUCUACGUGCUCAGGCAGCUUGUUCAGGAUGGGUCAUCCUUCAUCCACCACUGGCUCCCGGGAGGGAGGGACCUGGGUGGGCCUGGCCUCACCAGGUGAACCUUCCAAAGCUGAGCCUUGGCUCAGACUGGUCAGCUGCUCCCAGAGAAACACAGAGACAGGGUCCCGCCGGCCUGGACGAGGAAGAAGCAGCUGCGGUUGUGUGCAUCCCUGGAGGAGGACGCAGCCCCCCUCGGACAGGCAGAGAGACGACUCGCCCCCGAGCCCAGCAGCCGCAGGGGAAGGUCUGCCUGCAGCCAGGCGGGGGCGUGUGCGCGCACAUGCGCGUGUGUGCCCUCGGGUAAGGCCCCGGCCUGGAGAACACGGUGACCGACUCAGCGACCCACGCACGGGACCCUGAGCCGGGAAGCCGGCAUACGGUACCCUUUGUGCCGCCUUAAGCGGCUGAGUCGGUGGUGACUUGUGACACAGCAGCAGAAAACCAGCCCGCCUUCCACGGGCCAUUCCACGGACACUGCCUGACCUGCUCACGGCUGCCCCCGAAGCCCCCACGCAGGGCGGAGGCGGGGGUCCAGGAGGUCUGCUCGGCCCCCCUCGCACCCCCAGACCCUCGUGAUGGGGGCUUCCGUUCUCGAGUUAGAGGGAACGCUUUGGGGCCAUCGGUGAGUUAUGGGACCAGCCGGGUGUCACAGACCUGGUCCCCAGCCUGGCUUUGCUCCUUCUGGCUGGUGUCAGAAGCUCUGUGACCCCAAGCGGUUCCUUCAUAAAGUGGGGCCCGUUCAGUGCCUUCCCCGUGGGCUCGUGGAAUUGAAUAACUGGAUCUGUUUCUAAAGCACUUGGCACAGGGUCUGGAAACGCCGCCGACCUGUUACCUGAAGUCACUGCAUCCAGACCUGCCCUCCCACAUGUAUAACAUCUGUGCCAGGGCACACGCAGGCGCUGUUAAAUGUCUCUCUCACAUACACACACACACAGAGUCCCAAACAGACACCCUCCCCCUUCCAAAGCCCAGAUCAUCAGCAUUUGUUCAGUAGGCACGUCAUUGACACUGAGCAGCCUCAAGACGCUGUGCAGGACGCAUAGGGCAGCAAACUACAUCCUUGCAAAAUACAGCUGCGAAAUGACCGAUUCUCAAACGGUAGAGGGAACACUGCUUAGACACAGAAGGCAGCGGUACAUUUGCCAGACAGAUGGGGAGCGUCGGCGGGUCCCUCCCUGCUCUGGAAAGCUUGCUCGCCCGCGCGCGCGCGCGCUGUGCGUGCCAGGCUGCGUUCAAGAGCACCGUUCCCAUCCCCUGGUUGGAAUCUAGCCUGGCUUUCAGCUCGGUGGAAAGGCCGUGGGAUUCUGGAGAGCGGAGGGUCUGUCCUGGCCGCUUGGCCUCGGGUGACAAUUCUUUUUGUUCGAAUCUAAGCAUGGUUGCUCGACAGCCUUGUGCCGGUUUCUGCCGCACAGCAUAGUAACCCACUUGCACACAUGCACACACUCAUUUUUUCACACUGUCUUCCAUCGCAGUCCCUCCCAAGAGACUGGACACGGUUCCCCGUGCUGUACAGCAGGACCUCAUCGCCUAUGCAUUUCCUGUGAAGAUUCUAACGGCUUCUCGCCAUCUGUCCAUAUUCACUGGGGCCCGUCCUGGGUUGAAGGGAGUGAGGCUCUCGGCUUGGGUACAAAUUUUAAGUGUGGGGGUGAGGAGAGUGCAGACAUCUCAGUGAUCAAGAGAGAUAAUUUUUUUUUUUUUGGUCUUUUUAGGGCCACACCUGCAGCAUAGGGAGGUUCCCAGUCUAGGGGAAUCCAGCUUGGAAUCAGAGCUGUAGCCACCAGCCUACCCCAGAGCCACAGCAAUGCCAGAUCCGAACUGCGUCUGCGACCUACACCACAGCUCACAGCAACACCGGAUCCUUAACCCACUGAGCGAGGCCAGGAAUGGAACUCGCAACCUCAUGGUUCCUGGAUGGAUUCUUUUCCAAUGUACCACGAUGGGAACGCCAAGAGAUAAUAUUUUAAUGCAGCGUUUCCUUAAAAUUUCCCAGUUAAAAUGGUGGGAAAAAUCAACGAGGAAGAAAUGCCCACAUGUUAACGGAAGACGGGCUCUCGCAGGGCUGCGAGUAGGGCAAGGUGAGGCGACGAGUCCUGCAAAGCUCAGGGUGGAAAUGUUGAUGUUGCGCUCCUCACGGACUGGAGGCAUUAUCCUUUCUUUUUUAAGCAAACGGCACUGGCACCGGGGCCUUCUCGUGGCUCAGGAGCCUGAGAAUCAGGCAUGAUCCCUGCAGCAGUUCCCUUCGCUGCUGCAGUGUGGCUGCGCGACCUGGCCGGGGACUUUCGCGUGCCUCUGCUGCGCAGUAUUGCCCUGAGUCCUGAGGACUCGGCUUCCCUUACGUGGUGCGCCCAGGUGAACACCUCGGGGGCCCGCCAGCCCCUCCCCCCGCAGCAUCUCUGAUCCUUUCUCUCUGUCCCCACCGUGAAUACCCUCGUUCUUUCCACCACCGCGUCUGGCUGGAGCCGGCACAGCAAACUCCCCGCCACCUGCUGCAUCCUGGUCUGGACACGACCUCCAAGCUGCUGGCACUGAAACUCGGGGUGACUUCCUCCGCAAACCCUCCCCCCAAAGCCCACUCCCAUCAUCCUCUCCCACCGUCUAGAUGUCUCCCCCCUGCCUCCCCCACCCCCAUCCCCACCAUCGCCCAGUUUGGGUUAUAGCAACUGAUGCUGCUAUUUUCUCACCUCUUUUCAGUUCUCUGCGCCAUUUCCCAGGGUGGGGGACCGGUCACACAAGUGUGAUGUCAUUUCAGAUGGUCCGGCUCCAAGGACAAUUAAACUUUACCAUACAAUGUUAUACCCUUGGGAGUUCCCGUGGUGGCUCAGUGGAUUAAGAACCCGACACAGUGUCUGCGAGGAUGCGGGUUCAAUCCCUGGCCUCGCUCAGUAGGUUAAGGACCUGGCACUGCCACAAGCUGUGACUUAGAUAACAGAUGCGGCUCGGAUCCCGCAUUCCUGUGGCUGUGGUGUAGGUGGGCAGCUUCAGCUCCCACUCGACCCCUCGCCUGGGAACCUCCAUGUGCUGCAGGUGCCACUGUAAAAGGAAAAAAAAAAAAA